CCCUUAGACGUUCUGGGCCGCACGCGCGCUACACUGACCAGUGCAACAAGCAUCCGUCCUUGGCCGACAGGCUCGGGCAAUCUUUGAACGCUGGUCGUGAUGGGGAUAGACUUUUGCAAUUUUUGGUCUUCAACGAGGAAUUCCUAGUAAACGCAAGUCAUCAACUUGCAUUGAUUACGUCCCUGCCCUCUGUACACACCGCCCGUCGCACCUACCGAUUGAAUGGUCCGGUGAAUGAUUCGGACUUCCGCGUUGCUAGCUACUAGUUUCGCGGAAGAAAGUCUUGUGAACCUUCACUUAGAGGAAGGUGAAGUCGUANCA
Molecule: ribosomal RNA, 321 nt
Filed under: uncultured eukaryote
Lineage: Eukaryota
Description: partial 18S ribosomal RNA
Rfam family: Eukaryotic small subunit ribosomal RNA
Source: RNAcentral